CCCUAGUACUUAUUAAUAUGAUGGGAAUUAGUAUUAGUGAAAUUUAAUAAUUUUGGCGGUUAGUUGUUGUUUAGAGGAGCUUGUUUUGUAGAAAUAGCUCUUUAUAUUUUGUUAAUAAAAGAUUUAUUCAUCUCCGUUCUUAGAUUAUAAAUUAUGAAAGUUUAUACUAGUAUUUCAGGUCAAGAUGUAGUUUUUAUUAAAAUAGAAUUAGCUACAAUUAUUAAAAUAAUGGAUUUAUUGGAGGUAGCUUAUUAGGAAAUUGAAUUUAGUUGUAAUUUUAACUAGAAAGUUAUUAUGAAAUUUGUUAAUUAGUGUA
This 316-nucleotide ribosomal RNA is filed under the name Gonyleptes fragilis. RNAcentral's name for it is "partial small subunit ribosomal RNA". The record is from RNAcentral. Lineage: Eukaryota; Metazoa; Arthropoda; Arachnida; Opiliones; Gonyleptidae.